GGCGCCUCGGCACAGAGUCAGAGCCAGAGUCAGGGGUUGUCCUUUUACAGAGAUCCGAACUCUGUUCCGGUGUCACGGCACCGCUUGGGCCUCCUCUGCUCUCUGACCUCACUCUGAGUAUCUCUUCUCUCUCAAUUGUUCUCUUACAUUCUGUCCCCAGCUCUGACCUCCUCCGUCUCCCUUGUCUUUUACGUUCCCUUCCCUCUUUGUACUCUUUUCUCCUUUCACUGACGAUUUCAUUUGCUUCUCCGGUUUUCAGUGGCAAUUCUGUGCCCCUCACACCCAUCGUGAUAGGAGAUGUUCCACUUAUAGAGCACCUGCUGCAUACCAGGCGCUCUGCUCAUGCCCCUCAUCCACUCCUCCUGCCACCUUCCUUUUACACAAGAGCAGGUGGAGCAGCUGGCGAGGGGGGCAGUGGAUGUCACCCUCAGGCCCGGGUGUCCCCGUAGCCUGUGUGUGCCCCCGUCGGCGGCCCUCACCUUCCAUCACAGUCUCGUCGUUAGCAGCCUGUUAGAAUGCAGAUUCCCGGCUCCACCUGCAGAGCUCCUGGCCUGUCGCAUGAUUAAAAAAAAAAAAUGAAAUUAGGGAAAAUCAGAGUUACCCAAUGUGUAGGACUUCCCUGGUGGACUGCAACAAUUGUCCUCUGGAGGACAUGUCAGAGGUGGCUCUCCCAAAUACCUGUGGAAACCAGCAGCGUCGCAAGAGUCUGUUUGCCGGGCACCCCCUCUCGUGUGUGGCUCUGCGGUCCAGUCGCCAAAUCCUUCUUUCUAAGCAAAGAGAAGGUACUAGCAGGUAGGC
Molecule: long non-coding RNA, 798 nt
Filed under: Dasypus novemcinctus (nine-banded armadillo)
Lineage: Eukaryota; Metazoa; Chordata; Mammalia; Cingulata; Dasypodidae
Description: lncRNA (ENSDNOG00000050903.1)
Source: RNAcentral